This is a long non-coding RNA of Eriocheir sinensis (Chinese mitten crab), 3476 nucleotides long. RefSeq lists it as uncharacterized. The transcript is spliced from 4 exons. Lineage: Eukaryota; Metazoa; Arthropoda; Malacostraca; Decapoda; Varunidae. The record is from RefSeq and is a predicted model, not a curated record.
GUUAUGGUGGGGAAGUGACGGAAGAAAUGGGCCCCCACACAGUGUAUUUGGUGCCUGAUCCUGCUGAUUUACAAGGCAGAAAGGACACACAGCCUCCUUACAACACUUUCACACGCAUGUUUAUCCAUGACUCUGUGUAUGGAAAGAAUCUCAUGAAACUCAAAGAUUACUGGGCCCAUAAAUUGAAAAAUUUUGAUGAACAGUUUGACCCUCAGAAGGUCAUGAAUGGAUAUCUCACCUGGGAGGACUGCACGAAGGAAAUGUCCCGCUCAACAAGUGGAUUAACACCAGGGACUCCUGUUGUCUGCAGUGAUGAUGAUGGUGAAGCAGGAGGCAGCACUGCACCUUUGUUGCCUUCUCCAGCCACCCCUGAAGCCCCUCGGUUAUCCAAAGGCAUCCCCAGCCAUUCUGAAGGACAAGCAGAGGCAUCCACCAGAUUGCCUUGGACCAGUAAGCCUCUGACAUCACUCCCACACAUCACCAACGAAAUACCUUGGUUUCCCCAGGUACCCAUUUAUCGACCAGCCUGAGAGUAAGGAUGAACAGCUGGGUGAGCUGCACACUGACUGCCCGGGCCGGGAUUUGAACCCAGGCCUGCGGAGUAGAAGCCAGGCACGCUAACCACAAGACCACGGAGGCGUAUAACUUUGAGAGUGACACAGGAUAAAUGAACUUAAUUAUAAUACUUUUGAAAGUCACUUAAUCUGACUUCAUAUAUAUAAUAACAACUUCUUUACUAAUAUAAUUAAAGAAAGAACUGCUGGUAUACAUGAACACAAUCACAACUUAUAUUGUAAAAAAAGGGGAGAAAUUAUCUGACUCUAAAAAUUAACUGCAGGACAAUAUGGCUGAGCUUAUUAUACACUUAAUAAAAUGUAAAGCUUAUAGCACUGUGGUGUGUACUAUUUGGAGCAAUUCUUCACAGCCUGCUAUUAAACAUCUUUUUAUAUGUUAUUUCCUAUAGAAAUCAAUUAAAUAAAUUGCAAAUACAAAACAGGUUUGAAGAAAGCAAAAGGGACCUUUAGUGAUGCAUAAGAAAUACAGAAUUUUAUGCCCUGCAAUAUUCAACAAAGUCCUGAAAAGCUCCAGCUAUUGCAGUCAUUCUGGUUGAAACUAUUCAAGGAAAUAUACACAUUUCUACAAACUAUCCAGUAAUAUAUGCUUGGUCUUGCUUCUUCAGAAUCUUUUAUCUUGUGUCUCCUGCCUGGAAGUUUAAGGGUCUGACGCUGCACCACUGCUGGGACAUAUGGGCUGCUAGGUGUUGUAGCACCCGCUACACUUUCAGGUUACACUCAGUCUCCUAUGAAAGGAAAAUUAUUUGCUUGGUCAUCAUAACCAGGAUCAUAAGAGAGAGAGAGAGAUGUAAAAGUGACUGGCUAGUAGUUAAAGGUUAAGAAGCAAUGAAAUAGAAAGUUUACAUAGUUAUUAAACUUGAUCUGUGGAAAUGAAGAAAACAAAGAAAUACAAUGACUAAGUUAUAAUAGUGAAUUUAAAGUAUCUAUGUUUUAAUAGGAAGUUAGUUUAUCUCAAGCACUAUGAAAGAGCUUUUUACUUAUUGUUAUAGUAGAGCGACAGUGUUUUAAGCCAUAAUACAGCAAGCUGCUCUUUAGAAAGUAUGCCGUUUUAUCUACUUCCCCAUAUCUGAGCAGCUGACAAUGUCUGAGCUCCACUCCUAAUCCUAGCCACAUUACUGGGCAGUGCCCUGGUGGCAGAAGUGGCAAAUCUUAAUGACUGAUAUGUUUGCUAAGCUCUGCUUUUUUUUUUUUUUUUUUUUUACAGCAAAGGAGACAGCUCAAGGGCACAAAAAAGUAAACAUUAAUAAAAAAAAAAGCCCGCUACUCGCUGCUCCUAAAAAGAAUCCAAAGAGGUGGCCGAAAGAUAGGUCAGUUUCGGGAGGAGAGGUGUCCUGAUACCCUCCUCUUGAAAGAGUUCAAGUCGUAGGCAGGAGGAAAUACAGAUGAAGGAAGAUUGUUCCAGAGUUUACCAGCGUGAGGGAUGAAAGAGUGAAGAUGCUGGUUAACUCUUGCAUAAGGGGUUUGGACAGUAUAGGGAUGAGCAUGAGUAGAAAGUCGAGUGCAGCGGGGCCGCUGGAGGGGGGGAGGCAUGCAGUUAGCAAGUUCAGAAGAGCAGUCAGCGUGGAAAUAUCGAUAGAAGAUAGAAAGAGAGGCAACAUUGCGGCGGAAUUUAAGAGGUAGAAGACUAUCAGUAUGAGGAGGAGAGCUGAUGAGACGAAGAGCCUUUGCCUCCACUCUGUCCAGAAGAGCUGUGUGAGUGGAGCCCCCCCACACAUGAGAUGCAUACUCCAUACGAGGGCGGACAAGGCCCCUGUAUAUGGACAGCAACUGUGCAGGGGAGAAGAACUCAGUAAAUGGCCUCACCUCUAUGAAAAUACUGAAAUGACAUCACGUACUGAAGUGUGUGUGGCCCCAUAUCCCUUCCCUUCUCCAUGGUGAGAUAACUUGGUGCAUGCAAGUAUAUUACACUUUUACCUACAGAGGAGGUCAAAACAGUGUAAUGAAACUAAUCAUGGACAACUUGGAGGACAAAGUCAUGGCUAAGAACUGACAGAAAGGCACGUUUAUUACGUUACCUAAAGGAUACCUUCAUGCAGGUUAACAAAAAUGUUUCACUCACUAGCACGUUUUAGCAACAAUAUACUGAGCUGACUCUCCACAUGACAAGUGAUUGGCUUACCCUGAACUUCCUCACUUCAUCUCCGUACUCCCGGUGGGGCAGACAACAUCGUCUGCCUCUGUCACAGACAGCGCCUGCCUCUGUCACGGGCCACGUGCUGCACUGGUGUUGAGGUUCCUGUGAUUGGCUACUGUCUCUUGAGUACGUAUGUAUCGAGCGCUGCCAUUGGUUGAACGAAAUAUGUCAACAACACACUACGCCGUCUGUCGGCGGGAGUGUGAAACAGUGUUAAGGCAGGAAAAUCUAAACAUGGCGGACUUAAGAUUUUUUGGGAAUCGCAAGAUACGACAUUCUUAUUUCCGCCAUAUUGGAUCCACUUAAGAUUGUCGUAUCUGCGAGGCGUUAGUGAAUCUGGGCCCAGGUUGAUGGGUGGUCUUCAGGACAGCAUGUGGGUAGUUUUAAGCCACACAGCGGUGACUGAAAAAUCUGAGGUGGUAGCGUGGGGAUUCAAAUUCGUGUCGUCCAUCACGUGGUGAAUGUGGGCCCAGCACGCUACCACUUCAGCCACUGCCUACCCCGACCAAAGCCAUGAUCUGACUCCUUUCUGCCCCUCCCACCCCACCCCUUCUGUGUGUGUGUGUGUGUGUGUGUGUGUGUGUGUGUGUGACAAGUCAGGACAUGACCUGACCUGAGUCAGGUCAUGUUUUGACCAAAGCCCUGAUCUGACUCUCCUUUCUGCCCCAUCCUUCCCACAUCCUUCUCAUUUCACCUUCUUUGUGUGUGUGACAGGUAUGGACAUGACCUGACCUGAGUCAGGGCAUGUCCUGACCAAAGCCCUGACC